This 509-nucleotide ribosomal RNA is filed under the name Paenibacillaceae bacterium CL6.67. RNAcentral's name for it is "bacterial SSU rRNA". It matches the Rfam family "Bacterial small subunit ribosomal RNA", at positions 17 to 503 of the family's 1533-position model. Lineage: Bacteria; Bacillati; Bacillota; Bacilli; Caryophanales; Paenibacillaceae. The record is from RNAcentral.
CCCUGGCUCAGGACGAACGCUGGCGGCAUGCUUAAUACAUGCAAGUCGAGCGGAGUAAGAAUGGAAGCUUGCUUCCAUUCUUACUUAGCGGCGGACGGGUGAGUAACACGUAGGCAACCUGCCCUCAAGACUGGGAUAACUACCGGAAACGGUAGCUAAUACCGGAUAAUUUCUUUCCUCUCCUGAAGAGAGAAUGAAAGGCGGAGCAAUCUGCCACUUGGGGAUGGGCCUGCGGCGCAUUAGCUAGUUGGUGGGGUAACGGCUCACCAAGGCGACGAUGCGUAGCCGACCUGAGAGGGUGAACGGCCACACUGGGACUGAGACACGGCCCAGACUCCUACGGGAGGCAGCAGUAGGGAAUCUUCCGCAAUGGGCGAAAGCCUGACGGAGCAAUGCCGCGUGAGUGAUGAAGGUUUUCGGAUCGUAAAGCUCUGUUGCCAGGGAAGAACGUCCGGUAGAGUAACUGCUACCGGAGUGACGGUACCUGAGAAGAAAGCCCCGGCUAACUA